UACGUAGGGGGCGAGCGUUGUCCGGAAUUACUGGGCGUAAAGAGAGCGUAGGCGGCACUACAAGUCUCAUGUGAAAUACCCGGGCUUAACUUGGGGGUUGCAUGGGAAACUGUAGAGCUUGAGUACAGGAGAGGCAAGCGGAAUUCCUAGUGUAGCGGUGAAAUGCAUAGAUAUUAGGAGGAACACCAGUGGCGAAAGCGGCUCUCUGGCCUGUAACUGACACUGAGGCUCGAAAGCGUGGGGAGCAAACAGG
This 253-nucleotide ribosomal RNA is filed under the name uncultured bacterium. RNAcentral describes it as "partial 16S ribosomal RNA". It matches the Rfam family "Bacterial small subunit ribosomal RNA", at positions 524 to 776 of the family's 1533-position model. The record is from RNAcentral.